Small nuclear RNA from Sorex fumeus (smoky shrew), 110 nucleotides. The record is from RefSeq and is a predicted model, not a curated record. NCBI's taxonomy places the organism in Eukaryota, Metazoa, Chordata, Mammalia, Eulipotyphla, Soricidae.
GUGCUAUGACUCCAGCCCGCACAUAUACUAAAAUUGGAACGAUACAGAGAAGAUUAGCAUGGCCCCUGCGCAAGUAGAAAUAAUGAAAACAAAAUAAUGUAAAUGCUACC